CUCAGACCGAGUGCUCAAGAACGUGAGAUACUAGCAGUGUGAGAGGAGGAGACCGGUGGACGGGUUAGGAUUGUGUAAAACACAGCAAAGAUGCGUUUCCUGUCUGCUCAUCGGGGCUUGUGGCGACAGGCAGUACUAAUUCAGCUAGCCAUUAGCAGAGUCCCCCAGCACCUUCCUUUCUCCAGCCAUCAGGGCCAAGAGUUCUUUCCAACUUCCUGCUGCAGGAGAAGCCAAGGAAAUCUGCUGCUGCCAGAGAGGUAGGGGCAGCAGUGUGAUACACAGCAUGUGAGUACCCAGGCUUGAAUUCUGACUCCUCACAGGGUUGUCAUUUUGUUUAAUAUUUAUUUUUUACUUUGAAAUAUGUAUGUGUGGAUGGGUAUGUGCACUUGAAUGCAGAAACCUGUGGAGGCUACAGGUACCAAGUAACCCUAGAACUGAAGUUACAGGCAAUUGUGAGCUGCCUAAUAUAGAUCCUAGGAAUCAAAUUCAGGUCCUUUGCAAGAACGGGUAUGAACUCUUGACCACUGAACCAUCUCUCCAGCCCCUAAUAAUACUUUUGUUUUGUCUGUUUAUGCAUUUGUUUAUUCGCUUUGUGGAAUAAUCUUUUUGUACACUGUGAAGAUGUGUCUUUGCCAAGGUGCCUUCUGAUUGGUUUAAUAAAGAGCUGAAUGGCCAAUGGCUAGGCAAGAAGAGGUUAGGCAGGACUUAAAGGCACAGAGAGAGAGUCAUGAGGCAAAACAUAGAUUAAUAUAAAUGUGUAGCACGAUUAAUAAAAACCUAGAGACAGAAAUUAGGACUCAACCUGAAGGUCAGAAAAGCAAAACAGCCACUGGCUCUUACCUCUACCUCAAUCCAAAAUGGUGAUCCUGCCUCCAGGAUCCUCAUUCUGAGGAAUGAGACUGUGUGUGAGAGCUGUCUCCUCCCGUAUUAAUAUUAUUCCUCACUAGGGCUGGGAUUAAAGGUAUGCACCACUAUCGCCCUAUUUCUAUGGCAAACUAGUGUGGCUACUGGGAUUAAAGGUGUGUGUCACCACUGCCUGGUCUGUAACAGUAAACAGCUGACCAGUGCAUCUGUUUUACUCUCUGAACUUCAGGCAAACUUUAGUUAUUAAGAUACAAAUGAAAUAUGACUACAUAAAUGGAUUAAUUUAAGUUACAAGUGCUAGUAGAACUUAGAACUUAAAGCUAUAGGCCAAGCUUUAAUUAAUAAGUCUCCAUGUUGUUUUUUGUGAGCUGGUGGCCCAAAGCAAAAGCCAUCUUUGAUUUGCAGUGCUGAAAAUGGAACGCGGGACUUGCAUGCUAGACAAUCAUUCUACUGCUAACACCAGCCUUAGCACCCUGGCCACAGGAUCCUGCCGCUGAGUCGUAAGUCUGAGACCCUUCACCUACCUUCACCCUCAGAGGUCAGAACAAAACAGCCUGCCUGGCACUGCAGAACACAAAGCAAGGCUCUGUGGGACAAGACCCCCAUCCACGCACACACAGAAUUCCAGACAAAAGGAGGAGACAAUACCACACAUGGGCAUUGUGAGCUCAGAGAGACUUACAGUCCAGGAAAUAUAUCUGCAGUCACCAUUCAGUAUACACGAAUGUACAUCCUGGAAAAAGUCUGUUGUGGAGAGGAAACUCCACAUUCCCUGUGCAGCCAGACUGGGAACAAUGACGGUUUCAGAAGCCUCCCAUAGGACUUGAAGGGAACAGAGGAAGAGACCAUCCCUGGAAGAGAAGGCACCCAGUUGUGUUUUACUCUUUUGACUUUGUGUGGGACCCACUACCCAGCUCCUAAAUAAAUCACAGACAGAGGCUUACUCUUAGUUACGUCUGCCUGGCAUUAGCUUGACUUGUUCCUUGCCAGCGUUACUCAUCUUGUCUACCUUUUCCCUCUGGGCUUUUAUCUUUCUUAUUUCUGUGUGUCUUCCUUUCCUUCUUACUCUGUGGCUGGCCGAGUGACUGGUCCCUGAGGUCUUCCUCUCCUUGUUCUCUCAUUGCUGCUUUUGCUAAGUUCUGUUUCUUCUCUCUGCCUCCCAGCCCCGCCUAUCCUUUCUCCUUCCUCGCUAUUGACCAUUCAGCUCUUUACUAGGUCAUCAGGUGUUUUAGACAAGCAAAGAAUCACAGCUUCACGGAGUUAAACAAAUACAGCAUAAACAAAAGUAACACACUGUAAAAUAAUAUUCCCCUAUGGUACCCUUUAAGGGAUAACCUUCUCCUCUACAGCCACUUCCCUGUGCCCAGGAGGACGAGAGAACUGUAAAGUCUGCAGUGUGAUUACAUGCUUCCUCUGUGCCACCACAUAUCUCGUGUAACAUGCUGUGUGAGUACUUUCAUCUUAUUUUACAGAGGAGCUGAGGCACAGAGCAUGAAGCUGGUUAAAUCCAGUUAAAGCCCUAACAAACUUCAGGUACCCCUUCCCCAGUGCCAGGAAGCCCAGAGGCAAGGCAAGUAGAUUUGGGUGCUAACUCUGAUUUUCACUUGACAGGUUCAUUCCUCUCUUCUAUUUGACUCUUGAAUUUAUUUAUAGCCUAUAUUUAAAGCCUUCUCAAGCCCUGUUGGAAAAGGAAGGGGUACUUCUAUACCUGCCUCCAAGAUUGGCCCCAAUUUCCCUAGAGUAAGAAGACAGGAAACUAGCUCUCUCUAGAAUGAAGUUGUGUCAUGACCUUGGUGUUGCAGUAAACCCUUUACAGUUUUCCUGGAAAAGAGAACCUGUCUUGCAAGGCAAACUCCCUGUUUGGGGCUGGUGCGAUGGCUCACUGGGUAAGAGCGCUUGAAGUGCAAACAUAAGGACCUGAGUUUGAAUCCCCAGCACCCCUGUAAAAAGCCAGGCAUGGCUGCAUGUGUCCAUAACCCUAGUACUGGGAGAGCAGGAGACAGAGACAGGGAUCCCUAGAGCUCUCUGGCCAGUCAAACUAAACAGUAAGCUUCUGACUAAAUGUAGCAAGGUGGAGGGCAAUAGAGAAAGACAGCAAAUAUCCUCCCCUGGCCUUCACACACACACACACACAGAGAGAGAGAGAGAGAGAGAGAGAGAGAGAGAGAGAGAGAGAGAGAGAGAGAGAGAGAGAGAGAGAGAGAGAGAGAGAGAGAAAGAGGAGGGUGGUGGAGAACCACCAAUAAUCUCUUGGGAUGCAGAGACAGGAAAAUCCUGAGUUCUAGACCAGCCUGGGCUACACAGCAAGAUCCUGUUUCUAAAACCAAAUAGAAUCAAGAAAAGUAAUGAUUCGAGGAAGGAGUCCAAUCACUUCCCCAUCUGUUUUGGAUACUGCUGACCUCUCUGUCUCCAGACAGCCUCACAUCUUCCUACUCCCUAGCUCACAGACAGGAUGUCCAUGAUUGUCCACACUAGAUCCCGGGGAACCUAGAACCUGAAGUAGAGAACUUUCACGUACUGAGCCACCCAAACUCUGAUGUGAAAAGCACAGCUGAGGUAGAUCUCAGGCCAGCACAAAGCAUGAACAGCUGGACCUGGUUGUGUCAAGGAAACUAGUGGUCCAUUUUCCUGUCAACACAGGAGUUGGCCUACCCGCUCCAGACCUUGUGCACCUCUUUCCUGACAGCUCAUCAUGGGGUGGCUUCCUUCUGGCUUGUACUCACACAUGUGGGUGUGAUGUGGCGGAGGACCCAGACGGUGGGAAAAGGAACACAGCUCUCUAACAUCCUGCAGUGGUCCAGAUGUCUUGGCUCUCCUUUUGAGCCAGCCUCAGGACCACACAGCAUUCUCAGAUACUUCUUCGGAAGGACUUCAGACGUCAGAAGUCUUCGAGGAGACCCAUACUGGGACUCGCCAUUUUCACCAAUGCUCUGUCUCCUCAGCUCUUCCACCUAGGUAAAGGGAUUGCUGGAACCCGUGUUAUGGCCAUCCUUCUCCUUGUCUCCACACCCCAGGACAUGUGGUUUCAGCCUGAGAAAGCGAGGGGGUGGCAAGACAUGAGUCAUCCACACAGUCAUCCAGGAGCAGAGAGGCAGCUUUGAGCUCAGCAUGGCUUCCCUAGCUCUUCAAUCAGUCACCAGAUAGCCUGCUGUGAUCUCCAUGCCCAAGGUUGACAAGCCUGUGUCCUCACAAAACACAGACUCCUUCCUUGCACUUGAAACACGGACUGUGAGACCAACAGCAGCGCAGAAGUCAACAUUCUACACUUCUUCCCACCCUGCCCCUGCUAGGCCUGCCACUCGUGGGCCUGGCCCACACCACACUCUGGCUGCUAGUAGACCCUGAUUGAUGCUUCACUCAGCAAACAUUUCCAGAACGUGAGAGAUUAUGCCAGGCUACCUAUCACCUAGGUCACCCCACCACCGCAAGGAACCCCUUUUACUAGCAUCCCUUCCAGUCGAAUCGGGAUCAUUUGUUCCUUUGAUCCCUUCACCAAAAGAGGACUCUUUAAGAACAGCUCCACAGGGCUCAAUGGACAGAAAAAUAAUGCCUGUCUUGGGGCUGGGUGAGGGGGAUUUUAUCAUAGCGUUAUUAGUCUCUAAUGCUAGGUGUUUGGGGCCCAAGAGGUGCUCCAGGCUGAAGAAAAUGGUGCACACAUAAUUCCAGCACUCAGGAAGUAAAGUGGAGAGUCAUGAGCUGGAGUCCAGUCUGGGCUCCUUAGCUAGUUAAUACCAUGCUGAGCUACAGAGCAAGACCGUGUAGCAAAAAAAAAAAAAAAAAAAAAAAAACCAAAAAAAACCUAACAACACGGGCUAGGGAGGAUAGUGCACUUACCCAGUGUGGUAGAAAGUCCUUGGUUGGUUAGGUUCUUGACAGAGGGAAAGGGUAAAGGAAAAAGUUAAGAGGGGAGAGAACAAGAAUGAGAAUAGAUUUCAGCUGUCAGGGGAAACUCAGGUUAUGAGCAAAGCUUUACUUCUUCCUUUUCAUUGGAGAAAUCUAUUUCCGGUGAUGGAGGCUAAAGGUCCUGCCCUCUGCCGGGCUCCUCAGAGUGCCAUCAUGGAUCUGCAGCAAGGGAACUCGCCAGGUCCCCACCCUCAGUGUCCAGAACCGGACAUCGUCUGUGCGGAGGGAGCAAUGGUGGUUCACCCUAGGACCUUGUGCGUGUGGACAGCGCACUCCUCCGCUGCGCAGCAGCCCUAGUCCCAGAACACCCGACAAGCUCCUGUGUGAUUCGGAUGCAUGUGGCCGUUUGGGAAACAAUGACAAAAAUAAUGAUUGUUGCCAACAGGCAAGUUUAGAAACAAUGUGUUUACAUGUUCUUUUUCAGUCAGAGGCUGAAAGCCGCCACUUUUUCUCUAUAUUAAGUCUUGUUUUCCUGAGUUUCUACAACUGUACUCCCCCACAGGCUUGGAGGUCAGACCAUCCACAGCGAGAGGCUCUACCACUUCUUUGCCCACCGCGCCUUUGGGCAGGUUGUCUCACCUCUCCCUGUAGCCGCACCUGGCAUCUGGAAAGCACUCAUUUGCAUAACGAUUGGAUUGGAGUGGCCCGGACUGGAGCUUUUGCUGGUUCUUGAGAUGAAGUCUGUGAGUCUGAGGCUGGCUUGAACUCACUCCGUAGCCAAGGAUGAUCUUGAACUCUACAUCCUCUUGCCUCCCCCUUUUCAGGAGCAAGUUUACAGGUGUAAGCCACCCUCCCUAGUUAUGAGGGCUUGGGAACCAAACUCAGAGCUUCGUGGCUGCGAGGCAAGCCCUCUUCUAGUUGAGUUACAGCCCCUAGCUCCAUUUGUUUGUUCUUAAAACAUAGUCUUGUUAGUAGGGUGGCCUUGAACUUGUGACCCUCCUUCCUCUGCCUCCCAAAUAUCAGGAUUUUGUUCGUGUGUUAUCCUGCCCAGUCAUUCAGAUUUUGUGGAGAUCACAUUUACUAUCUUUUGAAAUGAAAUGAUUCUGUAGUUGGUGAGCUCAUUCAUUAUUCUCAGAUUCACUUCAGUUUUAUUUUUCCAAAGUGACUAUUUUUCUUGCAGACAAUUUAACUAUUACCUCAGAAAAUACCCAUUUCAGUCAUGUUUGGUACCACAUCUCUGUAGCCCCAGCAUUCAAGAACCUGAAGUAGGAAGACUACAAAUUUUAAGACAGCUUAUGUAAUAAGGCCCUGUCUCAAAUACAUACAUUUAUGUAUAGUGUGAAUAUGUAUGUAUGCAUAAGUGUAUAUGUGGAGAUAUACACUGUUUCAGGAUUAUCUAUUCUACUAUCCCAUCACCGAAAGAAUUGAGCUUUUUUUUUUUUUCAAAAAAAAAAAGAUUUAUUUAUUAUGUAUACAGUGUUCUGUCUGUGUGUGUGCCUACAGACCAGAAGAGGGCACCAGAUCUCAUUAUAGAUGGUUGUGAGCCACCAUGUGGUUGCUGGGAAUUGAACUCAAGACCUCUGGAAGAAUAGUCAGUGUUAACCUCUGAGCUACCUUUCCAGCCCCGAGAACUGAACUUCUUAACUGUUGUCACCUUGUACAAUUCCUUUGCCUUUUUAAUAACAAUAAUUUGCAAGAGCCUAAGUAUUCUUUCAGAAUUUGCCCUCUGGGUCCCAGAUGCCUUUGGAAGCAUUGUUUCAUUUCCUCUUCACAACUGUGCAAUGUACACAAAGAAAGUGUUAUCUUAUAGAUAAUGAGAGUCCCAGUGCCCACAGUCACAUGGCUAGCAAAUAAGAUAGUGAGACCCAGGAUUCUGGUCCUAUAGGCCCUAGUGGGCACUGGAUGGAUGGCUGGAUAGAUAGAUAGAUAGAUAGAUAGAUAGAUAGAUAGAUAGAUAGAUAGAUAGAUAAUUACCAUGUGUUGCAUGUGUUGAUUCAAAUCAAAGUAUACACCCACAGGGCUGGGGAAAGAAUAUGAGAAUAUGUCAUCUUCCAAGAUGGCCCCAACUGUGAAUACUCCAUUCCAUUGUCCAUAGGAACCCACUUGUGCUUUGACGAUUUAGCUCUCAAAACAUGGUCAUUGUAACUAUUGGGCUAAACAAAGUCUACAGUUCCAGAUACUCAGAGGCUGAGAGUAGAAGAUUGCUAAUUCAAGACUAGUCAGGGCAACAUCAUGAGAGCCUGUCUUAAAUUAAAAAGAAGGUUGAGGGAACUGGAGAGACAGCUCAAGGGUUAGGAGCAUAUAUUGUUCUUAAAGAGGACCUGAGUUCAAUUCCCAGCACCCACACCAGGCAGCUCACAACUAUCUGUAACUCUAACUUCAAAGGAUCUGAUGUCCCCCCACCUGACCUCAUACACAUACUUCACUUAUACAUAAGCAAUAAUGGCUAUUUUUUUUUUUAAGAAGAGGGCUGGGGAUAUGGCUCAAUGGCAGAGCACUUGCCUAGCAUGCACAGAGCCCAAGAUUCCGUCCCCAUUACCACGGGCAGAGGACAAAACCUGUCAGACUAAUUGGUGAAAUUAUUUACUGCAAGAAAAGCAACAAACUCUGUAUUAAAAAUAAUAUAGUCUCAAAAACAGCUCCACAGAGGUUACCCACUUAAAAGGGCACCUCCUGGAAAUCCCAGAUUUCUAUCUAAUGCCCCAAAUAAUCACCAUUAACAGUUACACACACACACACUUUUAUAUUUUCUCUAAUAUAUAUAGUUUUUCUUUUUUAACCAAAUGAAACCAUACCAUGGACUUACGUAACUGUUCUUUGGUCUCUUAUCACUAUCUUGGAUUCUUUUGCAGUCUUCCUGAUUGUUUUCCUGGAUUAUCUGCAUAAUAAUAGUCUACUAUAAAGUGUGUCUGUCUGUCUUUCCUUGUGCAACUAUAUUGGCUGGGUUGUAAGCUGCACGAUGUUUUUUUUUUGUUUGUUUGUUUGUAGCUUUGGAUCCUGUCCUGGAACUAGCUCUUGUAGACUAGACUGGCCUCGAACUCACAGAGAUCUGCCUGCCUCUGCCUCCCGAGUCCUGGGAUUAAAGGUGUGUGCCACCACGGCCCGGCAAUGUUUUCAUUACCUAUAUAAUAAUGUACCAACUCAGACACCCACCCAGCACACAGAAGGAAACACCCAGGCCAAGGCUGAGGGGUGUUUUCCAAUCCCUUCCAGAUCACAGGUGGCUACCCACAUCUCCCUCUCCAGUGUCAGCCUUUCUUUUUAACUCUCAGAUCUUUGAAAUCUUUUGAUUCUUCUCCUCAGCCAAGCAGCAUUUCCUCUGCCUUCCCCUUCCAGCCUGGGACCUGUCAUUUCUGAACAAGAUUGUCUCUCUCCCAUUUCCACCGCCCCUGCUUCUGUAGACCAGGGUUUCUUCCUUCCUCCGUCCACCCUCUUUCCAGUCUGUCUUCUCCCCAGCAGCCUCCCACAGCCCAGCUGAUGAGCACCGUCUUCCCCCAGCCAUGUGGGGUGUAUGUUUGCUUACCCAGUGAGGUCGUCCUCGCCUUCACCUCCUUGCUUGUUGACAUCCCCACCUCCACAGAGCCUGCCGUUGGCAUGGCGGUUGUUAUGGGGUCAUCGUGGGUAACCAAACUCUGAAGAGACACAGUUUUGCUGCCAACAACUGUAAGUCUGUAGUUGGCAACUCAGAAAGGCUGGCUCAAGGAUCUUGCUGCCAAUAAAUAACCGAGGAUUAAGCCAGCUCUUGCCCUCACCUCCCAGUGGGUACCACUUUCAUUUCCUAUCACUCUUGGGCAUCUAGCAUGGACCACUCAGAACACUUCACUGAUGUUUCCAACCCUCGGGACAUGUGGCUGGCAGCUCUAAUUGGGCUCUGGGAUGCGGGGCAGGGGAGGAAUAGGUGCAGAAGGAGAAAGGAGUGCUGUCUGGUGCUUAGGAUCCCAACCUUGAGCUCAGAACACCCUCUCUGCUCUUGGUCCAUCCAUCCAGUGGCCUCACAUCUCCCUCUGCCUGCAGGAAUGAAGACCAGGGCCUCAGGGACUUUCCACCAGCAGGGGCUAGAAGAUCUGACACAAGACCGAGGGACACGGGAACUGCAGAUGGUUGUGAAAUCCAAGAUUAGCAUUUCCAUCCACCCCAGGGUGUGUGUGUGUGGGGGUGUCACUAGCUCCUCUCACCCUUAUUGUCUUCUUUGUCCCCAGCAGGCUCAUGAUCCAGGACAGUUCACCUCUAAACACCUCCAAGUUGCCUGUGCUCUGACUGCAACUCCUCUCUGCUGCAGGUUCCCUGAGACAGUGGUCCCUACCCACUGCCUUCCUGCCUCUCCAGCUGCUGAGAUGAUUCAUGUGACUUUUGACCUCCUGACACUCAGGCCUUUCUCAAGGCUUCCUAGGUACCCUAUCACUGAAAUGCUGAUGGAGCUCCCAGUAUAAGUGUGUGUGUGUGUGUGUGUGUGUGUGUGUGUGUGUGUGCGCGUGCGUGCGCGCGUGUGUGAGAGGCUGGCUCGUCAGCUGAGCCCCAGGGAGGCUCAUAUUAGAAGUGCAUACUGUCAUGCCCCCCCCCUUUUACCACCAGUGCCGGGGAUUGAACUCAGGUCCUCACAUUUGUGAGGUGAAGCAUUUUACCCAUUGAGCUGUCUCUUCCCCCCUCAAGCAAGACUCCUUUUUAACGCGGUCUCUGAUGACUCUGUGUGAUCUCCACCUCUCCAAGUCCUGAGCAGUCUCCUUAGCCAGCCCUCAUCAUCUCUCUCCCCAGGAGUCUCACCUGAUUGGUCUGCGCUGAAAUCACCACCUCCAGGCGCACUUCCACUAGCCCAGUGUCUCCUCCCACCAUCCUCAACACAGGCUGUGUAGCUCUUCCAACAGCUGUAGCGAGGUAACCCCCAGAUGUCUCAAUGCCUCCAAGCAGCAGCCCUCUCGGGAAUAACCAGAGCAGUGUCCCUCAGCUAGGUACUCUGAGGUUUCAAGCCCACUGUUCUUUGAAUCUCCCAACUCCACAUCCCAGGAAUCUACAUCCUGUGGUUUCACCCAGAUGACUGGCUCCUUCUACUCUCACUCCUGCCUCUUCCUCGAUUAUCUGGGUGCUAGGUGGCCCAAUUCUGUAGACAUGCCAUGGGCCAUUAUCAGUCAUCAUCAGUCCACUCUGUCACGUAACCCGUGAUGAAGAGCUCCCAUCCUUAUCCUUACAUUCAUCCCCUGGGAUCCUCCUAUUCAAGUUUAACUUUACUAUUCAAGGUGUCUACUCCGCCAUUGGGUCUGGUUGAUCUGCUCUGUUUUCCCAUGUAUUUAUUUAGCUAUACCAACAGAAUACUGCUGUGGACAUCUUCGCCCUGCAGUCAGAGCACAGAGAACUUAGCAGGGACUGGCAAAUUCAAGCUCAGGGCAAGACAAAAAGACCAGCAAGUGAGAUACCAAGGAAGGUCCGUAUUAGAAGGUUGAAGGCCCCAGGGUGACCACACCCAACCCUUUUUCACUUAGACUGGACUAUGAAUCACCAGUUUUACUUCCUCAGUGAGGUGCCGUGCCUGCAGCCAUUCCAGAAAUCCUUCUCUAUGGUUGAGUCCCCUAAGGCAUCGGUCAGCCCCUCAGUGUCUGGCCGGGUGCAGUGACCUGCUUUCCUCCUCACGGAGUGGAAGAAGCAGCAGCCCUCAGCCAGCCCAGAGGUGUCAGCUUCUCUUCUCGCCCAGCCAGCUGCGCUGCACCUCGAGUCAGGUGCUGCCCAGGGCUCCGACUUCCUGGGAGGGAGAAGCAGAGCUGACAUUCUCACUAGAGAAAGGGUGGGCCUGCCCCUCCUCUGCUCAUGACCCGCUCAAAGGCAGCCAGCCGGAGUUUGCCAGGGAGCUCCUGCUGGCGACAUUUUGAUCAUCCUAAGCCUUUGCUAAGUGCCAUCAACACGCUGACUUAAGUGGUAAAGGAUGCCGGGCUGAUGUGGGCUGUGGGGGUGGAGGAGAAGACGAACAGGAGGAGGAAGCAGAUGGAGAGAGGCGCGAGAAGAAAAGAACACAUGGAACCAGGCUCCUUGACUAGACUCUGGUUUCUCCUGCCCUACCCGCACCGUCCUGUGUGGCCAGCCGCUCAUCUGUUGACACCUUAGUUGUUUCCCAGCCUCUGCACCCCACCGGAAUCAGCCUGCACAGUCUUCCAAGCCACUGUUUUCUAUCAUUGCCUAGGGGACACAAGCCAGUGGCUUUGUCUAGCCAGGGCUUUCCAUGACUGGGCCUCCUAUCCGUUGGCUUUAUUUUCCAUUGCUUCACAGGGGAAAAUGUCGACUGUGCCCAGCCUGGCUUGUCAUUGCCACCACUCCCUCCUGUGCACUGAAGCAGCCGUGCAUGGUUACUUAGCAAAAGGCAACCUUAGCAUUGUUUCAUCUUGGUGGUUUCUCCCAUAAUCAUUCACUGAGUACUGCCAUUCAUAAAACUGGAAAAAGGUUAACUUUCUCAGAAAUCUUACUGCUUCUCAGCCUUCCCCCUGGUUCCUUCCCUCUAGUAAUCUCAAACAAUGGUGAAGCUACCUGAAUUCUGCAGGUACGAACCCAAGGCUCAGAAGAGACCGGCUGCUCCCAAGCUGGAAGAAUCCUGGGCCAGAGAGUUGCAGGCUCAGCUCAGGACCUUUUCAGUCCACAGGUCAAGGUCAUCCCACUUUACCUGACUAAAGUGAAAACCAUAUGCGCUUGAGAGCGUGGGCCAUCCUCACUUUCUGUGUUUGGCAAAUAGUGAACACAUUAGUGUCUUCGUCUAUGCAAGCCGCUGAAACAGGAUUCCACAGACCUGUGGUCUGUAAGCAACAGAAAUGUAUUGCUCACAGGAAGCUGGGAAGUUCAAGAGCAGGAUGCCCACAAAUUGGUGUCUAGCGAAGGGCCAUCCUCUCUCUGGUCUACUUUGUUCACAUGAUAGAGCCCGAGGGAUCUCUUUGGGAGUCUCUUCUAAGAGUACUGAUCCUAUGCACGAAGGUUCCACCCAAUGGUCUAAUCACCACCCUAAAGUCCUGCUUCUUGAUGACACCACGUUUGGACUCAGGCUCAACACAUGACUUCUGAGGAGCAUAGUCUAUUGCAGAUGGGUUAUGACUACUCUCUCAAAAAAAAAAAAAAGAAAAGAAAAGAAAAGCAGCACUAGGUAAGUAGUUAAGCUGCUGUUUUCGGGGUUUUUUUUAGAUUUAUUUAUUAUGCAUACAAUGUUCUGUUAACAUAUAUACACCAGGAGGCACCAGAUCUCAUUAUAGAUGGUUGUGAGCCACUGUGUGGUUGCUGGGAAUUGAACUCAGGACCUCUGGAAAAGCAGCUAAUGCUCUUAACCUCUGAGCCAUCUCUCCAGCCCCUCGUUGUUGUUUUUUUUAGUGUUUUCUUUAUUAUUUAUUAUGUGUACAGUGUUCUGCCUGCAUGUACACAUGCAGCCCAGAAGAGGGCACCAGAUCUCAUUACAGAUUGUUGUGAGCCACCAUGUGGUUGCUGGGAAUUAAACUCAGGACCUUUGGAAGAGCAGUCAGUGAUCUUAACCUCUGAGCCAUCUCUCCAGCCCCUGUUUUAGUUUUAAUUUACAGGAUUGUGUGUGUGUGUGUGCAUGUGCGUGUGUGUAUGUGUGUGUGCAUGUGCGCGUGUGUAUGUGUGUUGCCUGUUAUUGAACCCGUGUCUUCACACCAGUGGGAUAGGCAAGCACCCUGAACAACAACAUCCUCACCUACCCCUCAGGUUCAGCGUAGAGAUGAGACGACCAGAGUUGAGGAUGUAGUUCAGUUGGUAGAGUGCUGGCUCAGCUUGUGCAAAGCCUCAGAUUCAAUCUCAGUCUCCAUACCAAAUAAACUGGGCUGAGUGGGAUGGGCCUCUAGCAUUCUGUAAUCCUCUAGUAAUCCUAGCAUUCUGGACAUGGAGGCAGGAGGUCAUCCUCCACGGGCGUAGUUCAAGACCAGCCAGGGUUAUAUAAGACCCUGUCUCAGAAAAAUAAAAUUACUUUCCUCCCCCUUAAUCUGAGAUUUUUAAAAAAACUAUGUACAAGUGUUUUAGCCUGUAUGUAUGUCUGUGUACCCAGUGUGCUAUGUCUGAGGAGGUCAGAAAAGGGUGUCAGCUCUGGAACUGGAGUUCCGAGAACUGUUAGCCACCAGGUGGGUGCUGGGAAUGGAAUACAAGGCCUCUGGAAGAGCAAUCCUCGUGCUCGUAACUGCUAAGUUAUCUUUCCAGCCCAAUGUUGUCCCUUUGACAACAGCACAAUGCUGUCCUAGAAAGUAUUUGAUAAGGUUGAAAACAGAGAGCAGGGUAUGUGAGACUCUGCAGUUCCUAGCUGGAGCCUUCUCAUCAGCCAUCGAAAGGCUGCAGUGUAGCCCACUUUUAUAGCAGAUACUAUAAAAGUAUCUGCUACUUUUUUCUCGUGAAGGAUGUGUGAUUACUGUUAUCAGCAGACAGAAUCAUGACAACAUUUUGUAAUGUAAUUUCAUGAUUUAUAUAUUAUGUUUUAUGAUGCUAUUUUGACAGUUACUAAAAGGCUUUAUAGCUGGAAAGUCGCUCUAUUGGGAUGGGAGGUGGAAACAUCUCCCCCACCCUUGCAUUCCUCUCUCAUCUUAUUCACGGUGAGGCUGUGCUAGACAGGGGUGGUGUUAACUCAAAGGGGCUGCCUAUUACCUGCCAUUAUUACCUUUGAAUGUCCAAUCACCUCCUGCAUCCCAGAGUCCCAUUGUUUAUGCCCCGUCUUUGAAGUCUAGAUUUAUUUUCUUAAUUUCUAAACUUUUUGGUUUGUUUUUUUUUAAUAUACUUCUUUUUUAAAAAUAUUUAUUUAUUUAUUAUGUAUACAAUAUUCUGCCUACACAUAUGCCUGCAGGCCAGAAGAGGGCACCAGACCUCAUUACAGAUGGUUGUGAGCCACCAUGUAGUUGCUGGGAAUUGAACUCCAGACCUUUGGAAGAGCAGGCAAUGCUCUUAACCGCUGAGCCAUCUCUCCAGCCCUGGUUUAGUUUGUUGAGACAGGGUUUCUCAGCUCUGGCUGUCCUGGAACUCACUUUGGAGACCAGUCUGGCCUCGAACUCACAGAGAUCCUCCUGCCUCUGCCUCUGAGCUUCCCCAGCUUAAUUUCUAAACUAUUAAGUAUAAACAUAGCAUUGCAGGGAUAACUGUGUUCUGUAAACUCCCUGUUAACACUGGUCCCUCCUCCUCAGCCCAGGGCAGCUCCUGCCACCCUGAGACAGAGUGCCUUGCGUUGCCCUGCUCUUGCCUACCGGGUCCCUCUAGGAAGGCAACAGUGGAAAAAUAGGAAUCUGUAAACCCCAUGGGCACCACAGUUCAGCUCCUCUCGCUCAGUCACAGAUUCCUGAUCGCUGGGUUUCCCUGGCCAGGUGGCAUCCGGAUUGUCAGGGGAGCAAAUGGUCACCUACAUAAGAAGGAGUGACAGUACCACAUGAGAUGAGCCAUCUUAAGGUGAGCCUGCGGCAGCAGGUAGACUCUGAAAUGGGAUGAGUUGUUAAAGGUAUAAAGGAAAAAAUAAUGAAGUACCAAAGAGGAAAAAUACAAAAAGCAGGACUAGGGCCUAGUUCUUAUCCAGACCAUGGAAGCCAUCGCCACUGUCAGUAAACCCCCAAAGAGGGCUCCUUCCUUGUAAUGAGGCCAAGUUCACAGUCUGCAAAGCAGAACUGGCCAGAGCCCCCACUUGUAUAUAGCUUAACUCUAAUCUGAUCAGGUUGGGGUGCGAAGCUCUUCUCAGUUUAGCAAUGGCAGAGUAUUCCUGUGCUUUAAGAUGGAGAGUUCUACCUCCAAGUCCCAACAAGCGCUUUGUGGUUUUGAUGCUAGGAUCUCAUGUUUGCUGGACAAGUGCUGUUGAGCUACAUCCCCAAACCCACACAGGCAGCCUGGUAAGAAAUGAAAUAAAGAAAAUACCAGAGUGCAUUCAAUAGUGAAAAGAGCUCUCGGAAUUCAUAGAAUCCUAUUGGCACUGAAGUAUUUAUGGGUAGUAAAAGGAAUCGUUGGUCCCCUGCUGUGUGAUCUCAUGAUGUUAAAUGUUUGUCCCUGAGCUCACUGAUUCCUGGAACCUGGGGGACACUGAACUCAUCCUCUGUGCCUGCCCCAGAGAGGAGUAUGUAAUGGGGUCUCAGGACUGAGCUCUCGCAUCAGUCGGACAGAAAAUCUGGCUUCAGUUGUGGGGACCUUUAGAAGGCUUGAAACAACCAUGAUGCAUCUCUGCCCUUGUCAAAGUAGUCACAG
This is a long non-coding RNA of Alexandromys fortis (reed vole), 14883 nucleotides long. RefSeq lists it as uncharacterized. The transcript is spliced from 3 exons. Lineage: Eukaryota; Metazoa; Chordata; Mammalia; Rodentia; Cricetidae. The record is from RefSeq and is a predicted model, not a curated record.